GGGCUCACACAAGCGGAGGAGCAUGUGGUUUAAUUCGAAGCAACGCGAAGAACCUUACCAAGGCUUGACAUCUAGGGAUUAGGUCCCGGAAACGGGUCCGACACUCUUCGGAGCGGAACCUAGACAGGUGUUGCAUGGCUGUCGUCAGCUCGUGUCGUGAGAUGUCGCGUUAAGUCGUUGAACGAGCGAAACCCUUGUCGUUAGUUGCCAGCGGGUCAUGCCGGGGACUCUAACGAGACUGCCGUGGUUAACACGGAGGAAGGUGGGGACGACGUCAAGUCAUCAUGGCCCUUAUGCCUUGGGCUACACACGUGCUACAAUGGUCUGUACAGAGGGUUGCUACACAGCAAUGUGAUGCUAAUCCCCAAAGCAGGCCCCAGUUCGGAUUGUAGGCUGCAACUCGCCUACAUGAAGCCGGAUUCGCUAGUAAUCGCAGGU
This 438-nucleotide ribosomal RNA is filed under the name uncultured bacterium. RNAcentral's name for it is "bacterial SSU rRNA". It matches the Rfam family "Bacterial small subunit ribosomal RNA", at positions 917 to 1349 of the family's 1533-position model. The record is from RNAcentral.